UACGUAGGGUGCAAGCGUGUCCGGAAUUAUUGGGCGUAAAGAGCUCGUAGGCGGGUUUGUCGCGUCUGCUGUGAAAACGCGGGGCUCAACUCCGCGCCUGCAGUGGGGUACGGGCAGACUAGAGUGCAGUAGGGGAGACUGGAAUUCCUGGUGUAGCGGGUGGAAUGCGCAGAUAUCAGGGAGGGAACACCCGGUGGGCGAAAGGCGGGGUCUCUGGGGCUGU
This 223-nucleotide ribosomal RNA is filed under the name uncultured bacterium. Its description in RNAcentral is "partial 16S ribosomal RNA". It matches the Rfam family "Bacterial small subunit ribosomal RNA", at positions 524 to 737 of the family's 1533-position model. The record is from RNAcentral.